This 269-nucleotide unclassified non-coding RNA is filed under the name plant metagenome. RNAcentral's name for it is "partial contains small subunit ribosomal RNA, internal transcribed spacer 1, and 5.8S ribosomal RNA". The record is from RNAcentral.
UUUCCGUAGGUGAACCUGCGGAAGGAUCAUUAAUGAGUGGUCAUGGGGUUCGAUGCUGGCAGCCAAUUUUUGGAUGCAUGUGCUUGCCCUAACAAUCAUCUUCCAAACACCUGUGCACAUUUUUGAGGGAGUCUUGAGUUGGUUGCCGCGCUUGGGUGAUUUUCUCACAUUCCCUUAAAUCAUUAUACGCUAUUAACAAUGUUGAACGUGCUCUGUGCCGCAAGGCUAUUAAUAUAAUACAACUUUUAACAACGGAUCUCUUGGCUCUC